UACGGGGGGUGCGAGCGUUGUCCGGAGUUACUGGGCGUAAAGAGUGCGUAGGCGGUUUUCUAAGUUUGGUGUGAAAUCUCCCGGCUUAACUGGGAGGGUGCGCCGAAGACUGGAAGGCUUGAGUAUGGGAGAGGUAAGCGGAAUUCCUGGUGUAGCGGUGAAAUGCGUAGAUAUCGAGAGGAACACCUGCGGCGAAGGCGGGUUGCUGGGCUGAUACUGACGCUGAGGCGCGAAAGCCAGGGGAGCGAACGGG
Molecule: ribosomal RNA, 253 nt
Filed under: uncultured bacterium
Lineage: Bacteria
Description: partial 16S ribosomal RNA
Rfam family: Bacterial small subunit ribosomal RNA
Source: RNAcentral